Molecule: long non-coding RNA, 415 nt
Filed under: Anser brachyrhynchus (Pink-footed goose)
Lineage: Eukaryota; Metazoa; Chordata; Aves; Anseriformes; Anatidae
Description: lncRNA (ENSABRG00000007878.1)
Source: RNAcentral
CAGGGUUUACCUACUACCCUGUGGCGAGAUUAUUGCAUGCAAUUGGGUGCCACAGCUGCCUUGCUGAGGACGCUAAGCCACGUUGGAGAAGCCACGUGUGGUCAAGCAUCAUCAUAGAUCUGCUGCUGGCCACAAAGGCACUAGCUACCAGCUGCAGGGAUGGGAAGGCUCCUGCCAGGCUGAGGAAACACACAAGUGGUAUUUAAGGGGAGAUGCGUUUUGCCUCUGCAGCCACACAGUGCUGACAUCUCAGACAAAUCUCCUGUAUUUUUGGAGGUGAACGCUGAGGACAGCUGGCUGCAGGGAGCAGUGUGUGGGCUGGGAAAAUCAAUUUGCCAUUGUCCCCAUCAGGCCCGGAGUUAGCUCAGUGAGGAGGGUUUCCGACAGUCCCACUCACGGGCUCCAGACGGAGGCU